RNAcentral lists this unclassified non-coding RNA (4933 nucleotides) under Hevea brasiliensis (rubber tree). Lineage: Eukaryota; Viridiplantae; Streptophyta; Magnoliopsida; Malpighiales; Euphorbiaceae. The record is from RNAcentral.
CACGAGUCAAAUGGGUUUAUAAACACGCUACAGAAAAACUGGGUUAGUUGAUCAAGCCCAUCAUUUUUGUAGAUGGGCCUCUUCCCACUAAGAUCCCUUGAAUUGAGAUGAAACUCAAAUUGAACACCACACAGGAGAAGAAUAAGCAAAAAUCACAGUGAGGAAGAUCCAAGAACAUAAUGCCCAUCAUUUAAAAGGGUUUCAAAUUUGCAUUACUGCAUUUUAAACGACAAUAUUGAAAAUGCUCUAUGAAAGCAAUUGAAUCUAAGCUUAUUCUUCAGCGACUGGUACCCAUUUUCCAGGACAUAGAGAAGUCUUUGCCUACAGGAAUAUCCAAACCCGAAACCUCUACAGCCACACUCUUCUUAAUAUCUCCAACUUGAACAUCCUCGUGAUACUUCUGUUCCAUUGAACUCAACCCUACCUUCGAAGCCCCAACAACAGGGUUUCCAUUAACCUCGAGUGCCGAUGGCUGCCCACUUCCAUCUAAUCCCAACACAGUCACCUUCUCAAUAAUCCAACCCUUCUGCAAAGCAAACUUACCCUCCUCAACUUUCGACCAAACCUUUACAGUUCCUUGAUUUGUAGUUGCAUACAAGUGAACAUAUGUUGAAUACCCAUUUCCAAGCUUCAUUUCUGGAAGCUCAUCAUUAUCAAGGUAAAGGCUUCCAUUGGCUGCUGCAUAACUAGCUCCUGCAGGGAAGGUCACUACAAGGCUAAAAGGCGUCAUUCUGGCUUGCUUAGAAAUCAGUCCACCCUGCUGCAUCGGUAGGAUGCUAUUCUGAUACAAAUGCACAUUAACCACAUGCAAAGGUGCAUCGAGGGUGACGUAUUGUCCAUCUUUUGAUGUAAUGGUUUGUGUCAUAUCAAAUACGCUGUACCAACUACCUGGAGGAAAGAGGGCUUUAACCUGUGAUUUCCCUUGCUCAAGCACCGGAGACACCAUGAGACCACUUCCCAGCAAGAACUGAGUGCUCAACCCAUAACAUUCGGUGUAACUCGGGAAUGAGAAGAAAAGAGGUCUGGCAAUUGGGGCCCCACUCAUAUGAGCCUCAUAGUUCAAUGUGUACAGAUACGGAAGAAGCUUAUACCUCAUGCCAAGAGCAUUUCUAGCUGAUUCAGCUACCGACUCCCACUGAUAAAGCUCCUGCCUUGGAGAGUAAUAAUUGGCAUGAUCCCUUGAGAAGGGGUAGAAAGCACCAACUUCAAUCCAACGGUUGCAAAGCUCUUCUGUAGGUUGAGGAUAGAACCCACAUAUAUCUGCACCGACCAUUGGCACGCCAAAAAUACCAAAAUUUAACAUAGUAGAUAUGGAAUACCUCAGAUUCUCCCAAGUGCCCUGAUUAUCACCCGUCCAAUGAGCAGCAUAUUUGCCUGAUCCAACAUAUGUGGAGCGUGUCAAAAUAAACGGCCGCUUGCCCUCAAGCUCUUGCAGGGCCUUGUGAGUGGCAAUAGCUUGAGAGAAUCCAUACAGACUAUGGGCAUCAUACUCCAAAACACCAUUAUAGUGGACUGCACUGGUGGCUAUGGUUUUGUACCCUAUUGGAGCCUGUAUCCCUGAAGCAUUUAUCUUGUAAGGUGGAUCAUCCCACCUUGUCUUUGUUAUGUUCUUGCAAUCCAGGCAACAGACCCAACCAGGUCCAGUUCCAUUUGGACAUAUCCUGCCCUCUGGUAUUGUGCAAAGUCCAGAACAAAAGUUUGAUGCUUCAUUCAUGUCAAUCCAUAGGCCAUCAACAGGAACAAGUUCGUGGAAGCGGCGAAUUUCAUCACCCCACCAUUGAACUGUUUUUGGAUUGAGGAAGUCUGGAAAGUUGACUGCUCCAGGCCAAACUUGAGCUAAGAAGGGCUUACCAUGAUACUUGAUAAAUACAUCAUUGGCAAUGGCUCUUUGGUAUACACCGUAAGUGGAGUUGACACCAAUUCCAGGAUCAAUAAUCACAAUGUACUUCAUUCCAAUGCUGUGUAUUUUUUCUAGGAAUGCCAGGAGCUUUGGACGAGGGUAGUUGAUAGGGUUGAGGGUAAAAUCCUUGUGCCCAUCCAUGUGAUCAUCAUCAUUCCAGAUCACAUCCAGAGGGAUCUGAGCCUUUUUGUAAUUCUCGACCACAUCUUCAACCACAGAGAGGUUAUGGUAGCCCCAUCUGCACUGGUGGAAUCCUGUAAAACCAAAAUCAAAAGAAUCAGAACGCGUGGUCGAUUGAUUGUAAACAUUCCUCGCACUUCUUUUCUUCUUUAGUUAAUAUGUAAUGCGCACAAACAUAGGUAAUUGCCUCCAAAACGAGAAAGAGAGCAACAUGAAACACAUCUACUUUCUACAGGAUGUAUUAUGCAUUUGAAAUAUAGUUACCAAUCCUAAACAUUUUUAAUUAUUCAAGAAACAAAGAAAAAUUUGACAACUCAACAUCUCAGCUUUCAAUCAUAUAAUUCUGUUUAUUUUCCAUCAAUAAACAAGCAAUUCAAGCAGCUUUUUUGGGGGAGGGGAAUCAAAGAUCUUUUAUCCUAGGGGAAUAUACUUUGAAACACGUGGCUAAAUUGUUCAAUAAAUCUAGUAACUUCAACAAAAUGCAAGAACACCACUAAUAAACUAAACUGGUAGCUUCGCCGUUCAAAAGAAAUUCAACCACUAUUUCAGAAAGCCAGCCUACCUGCUAACACGCUAAUUAAUUAUUUCAAGAAAUAUCCAUUAUUGUGUUACUAUUAUCUGCUGAAAAAAGGGGUAAAGAUUAACCAGAGCAAGAAGCCAGAGAAUCACAUGAAAGAUUAUAAGACAGUGGGGAAUUUGGAUUUAUUACAUAUAUCCUGUAACACAAAAUAGGUAAAUAUUCAUCCAGCCACCGACAUGACAAUUGCAAUAAAGCAAGGGAACACCAAUAGAGCAAUAUACAUACUCCACAGCCAAAGUAGUCUCACUCUUAUGGGACAUGGCAACCAAGUUGCAAAGCACAGGGCCUACAAAAAUGCCAGUCUACUAUUAACAUCAUGUGGGGCCAACGUGAGUCAUUAUCAUGUUCAUGGGCCCGGAGUUAGUAAUUAUCUAUGCAAUGCGGUAACAAUUUAGGACUGAUUGAUUAAUUUCCAUCUCGUGUAGGGAAGAUAAUAUUUUAAAGGACAGCAUUAUGAGCAAGGAUGUAGAGUAACAUUGCUUCUUUGCGGUCUCCCAGUUACUUUGCACAAAAUUUACAAAAAGGUCAACAUUUUGUGCUGCGAACUUAGCUUAUGAAAAGAAGCAAACUUUCAACAAUGAGACUGGCAUGAGAUCGGUAAAUUGUAAUAUGGACCUGGAAAACUAAACAUCCAUCAAAAGAAGAUUUUUAAAGCUAAAAGUUGUUUAUGGAGAAAUGCAAAAUUUGUUUGAUUGAUGAGAGCCUUUAAGCAUCACAAUGAAGUAAAACAAAUUCUGGGCCAACCCUACCAACCAAAAUUUAAAAAAGAACAUUAAUAUCCCAUAGUCCAACAACACCUGUACCGCAUAUGUGAGGUCAUCCACAAAUCACACCGUCAAUCAUCAUUAGACCACAUGCCAUACCAAUCAUAGGGGUCCUAAAUACACCUAAACAUAGGCUGAUAGGCGUCGGUACCGUCUGGUACCGGAACUGUACCAGUGGUUCGGGUCCUACGGGCUGAGAUUAGGUCUGAUCUUAAUUUUAAUUCGAUUUCCAUUUAAUUAAUUCGAUCUACCAAAUCCUACAGUCAAUUUUUUAAAAAAAUAAAAAGUGAAAAAUCUGAUUUUAAUUCAGAAAAAAACUAAAUCGUCCAAAAUUAAUCUGAUUCAAUUUCAAUUCAAUUCAAUUCAAGUGGUUUUAAUCUAACUUAUUGGGCCCAUGUGCUCCUAAACACCCGACUCAUUCUUCUUCAUGAGAUCUAAGGUCUAUUUUCAAUGAUACAAAAUAAUAUCGACAAUGAUAUCAAUGGAAACAAAUGGCAUCAUUACACACGAUCAGUGCCUAACCUAAUAUCAAUGAUAUAUAAUUAUGGUAUCUACCCACAAAUUUAGGAUAUUAUUGAUUAGUAUAUCACAUUUCUUGUGUAUAUUCCAUCAUUUUCUCAAUCAAAAAUCUCAUCUACACAACAGGACAUAUCGAAUGAAACACCAUAAUCAUAAGAAAAUAAACACAAAGCAAGUGACAACAACGAUAUCGACGUGAAACAGUAAAUACGAAUGAGCAGAUGCUAUAUCGACGUGAAAGAGUGCACCUUAAAAUUGACCGGAAAAGACUUGGUAUCAGUGAAAGAGAGAAAGCUGGCCGAGCAUCAGUAAAUACCAAAAAAACUUCACAAAAAAAAUAAAAAAUAAAAAAGCCAAAGCAGUAAAGCUAUUUCUUGUUCUUAUCGAAUACAUCAUCAGGAACAACCUUGAGCAACUUCCUAUCCUUAGACUUGGCAAUCUUCUUCAAUGUCUUUGGAUUCGUAAUCUUCUGCAACUUAGUCCCAGACCUCAAUAUAUUUUCCUGCUUCUUCUUCUCUCUCUCCUCCCUCUUCUUCCUCUUCUGCUCCUUAUUCCUCUUUAUCUCAUCCUUCAACUCAUUCAUUCUCUCUCUGUAAGCUCUCUUUAUCUCCUUCUGCUGCUCCCUCUGCUCGAACGUAGUGCCCUUCCUGCUCACUAGCUUCGCCGACGCCCUCUGCUUCCUUGGCUGCUUCCACUUCCGACCCGACACUCUCCCAGCUAUCACGCCGUCAUACGUCGGAUUUCCGAAUACCGGCUUGUCUGGAUUCUCUGAUGAUGGUACCGCCGACCUCUUUGCUGGAGGAAGCGUGUCCCCGUCGAUCUCCAUGGAUGCGUCGCCGUCGUCUGUUGAGACAUGCGAUUGAGCUUCGCGUUUGCGCUUGUAGGUUUUGCCACCGAAGCCUUCAUCGAGGCGUCGGAAAUCGAUGGUGCAGGCCAUUGUGUCGCUGCUGAAUUACGAAACCCUAAAUUUUUUUUUUUCCUUCUUUUUCU